GAUGAAGAACGUAGCGAAAUGCGAUAAUUAAUGUGAAUUGCAGAAUUCCGUGAAUCAUCGAGUCUUUGAACGCACAUUGCGCCUCAUGGCAUUCCGUGAGGCAUGCCCAUCUCAGCAUUAGAAAAUAUUCUCAAAUUUUAGUUUUGUGCUAAAAUUUGGAUCAUGUCAAGGAAGCUAUUACUAUUAUUGUGAUCGCUCUUUGGAAAUUGAUAGGUCUUUGAGUUGCUACUCAUAGAACGUGAUGAAUCUUUCUUCGUUCUAUUGUAAUUCACUCUGGUAGUCCUAAAACUUGUAUGCCUGUGGCAUAUCUUGUAAUUUGACCUGAGAUUGGGUAGGGAUACCCGCUGAACUUAAGCAUAUCAAUAAGCGGAGGA
Molecule: unclassified non-coding RNA, 374 nt
Filed under: soil metagenome
Description: partial contains internal transcribed spacer 2 and large subunit ribosomal RNA
Rfam family: 5.8S ribosomal RNA (bases 1-120)
Source: RNAcentral